GAGGGUAUAGCUCAGUGGUAGAGUGCCUGCCUAGCAUGCAUGAGGUCCUGGGCUCAAUCCUCAGUACCUCCA
RNAcentral lists this transfer RNA (72 nucleotides) under Camelus bactrianus (Bactrian camel). It matches the Rfam family "tRNA". Rfam says of the family: Transfer RNA (tRNA) molecules are approximately 80 nucleotides in length. The record is from Rfam by way of RNAcentral. RNAcentral also lists the same sequence under 1 other name. Lineage: Eukaryota; Metazoa; Chordata; Mammalia; Artiodactyla; Camelidae.